AAAUUUAACCUAAAGUUGGUCAAAUUUUAAGUUUCUCGGGACUGAUCCACCUCUAUUGCUACACUUCCAUAAUUUUGAUUUCCCUAAUCAAAACGAUCAAACUGCAUCGAUCACAUGUCACUCACGAUAUGGCUAGAAUAAGAAGCCACCCAAACUUCUAAGAAAUGCGCUUGGCCGCCACAGCACAAUUGUGCUAUUUCCCAUCGAAAACUCUCGCUUGUCAGCGUGCUUAGCCUACAGUGACGCUGCAGCAUACCAUCCUACAUUGAAUCGUACAUGAUCCAAUAAAUCGUUCUUACCUUCAGAAGAGGGAGUAGGGACACAACUAUCUAUUUGGUGUGUUGUUGCUUGGGUCCAAUUUCCUAGUGCCUCCCUUUCCUAGCUAUGCUUGUGUGACGCUUUCACUUGCCGUUCUAGCUAUCAUGCACCAUUUUAUUCAUACAAUUUCUUGGGAGGUGAUAACUUGCACGAGCUUGGCUCCUUUUAUAUGUACUAGAAGAUGAUGUACCUUUUAUGGUGUUAUUGAACAAAGUAGGUGGGAAGGGUCUGAUGUCUUUUUUUUUUCGGUUAUAAACAUGAGGGAAUCAACCAUCGUUGACGUUAAGAAGCUCGUGAGGAAAGUUAUAAGAUGGAUUAUCUUUUAUGGUGUUAUUUGAGAAAGUAGAAGACAAUUGUUUCUUGCCUUUUUCGGUCGGUUAUCAACAUGAUGGAGAAUCGCCUAAACAUCUUGUUGUGUUAUGGAGUCACCAAUCACCUCGAGCUUAAAAUGCUCUUCACCAAAAUCAUAAGAUAGAUUAGAACUGGCUAGCAGAAACCAAUUAUGAUGGAUCGAUUCAACCAUAUAU
Molecule: long non-coding RNA, 845 nt
Filed under: Oryza brachyantha (malo sina)
Lineage: Eukaryota; Viridiplantae; Streptophyta; Magnoliopsida; Poales; Poaceae
Description: long non-coding RNA (OBRA_LNC002810)
Source: RNAcentral